Molecule: non-coding RNA, 113 nt
Organism: Triticum aestivum (bread wheat)
Lineage: Eukaryota; Viridiplantae; Streptophyta; Magnoliopsida; Poales; Poaceae
Source: Rfam
UUACUACUCCCUCCGUUCAGAAUUAGUCGUAAAAAAUGAAUGUAUCUAGAUGUAUUUUAGUUAUAGAUACAUCCAUUUUUGUGACAAGUAAUUCCGAACGGAGGGAGUAGCUA